UACGUAGGGGGCAAGCGUUGUCCGGAUUUAUUGGGCGUAAAGAGCGUGUAGGCGGCCAGACAGGUCAGCUGUGAAAACUCGAGGCUCAACCUCGAGACGUCGGUUGAAACCGUCUGGCUAGAGUCCGGAAGAGGAGAGUGGAAUUCCUGGUGUAGCGGUGAAAUGCGCAGAUAUCAGGAAGAACACCAAUGGCGAAGGCAGCUCUCUGGGACGGUACUGACGCUGAGACGCGAAAGCGUGGGGAGCGAACAGG
This 253-nucleotide ribosomal RNA is filed under the name uncultured bacterium. Its description in RNAcentral is "partial 16S ribosomal RNA". It matches the Rfam family "Bacterial small subunit ribosomal RNA", at positions 524 to 776 of the family's 1533-position model. The record is from RNAcentral.